Molecule: transfer RNA, 63 nt
Filed under: Rattus norvegicus (Norway rat)
Lineage: Eukaryota; Metazoa; Chordata; Mammalia; Rodentia; Muridae
Rfam family: tRNA
About the family: Transfer RNA (tRNA) molecules are approximately 80 nucleotides in length.
Source: Rfam by way of RNAcentral
GGGGAUUUAGCUCAGUGGCAGAGCGCUUGCUUAGCAAGCGCAAGGCCCUGGGUUCAGUCCCCA